GAGCCUCCAACAUACUUUUACGCAAGAAAAAAGGACCAACUUUUCUUUUUCAUUUACUGCCAGUGGAACCAUGAUAUGCAAAUUGCACUUUUCACUAAAUCUCUUUUAGUCCCUAGUUUAAUUAUACAUUUGUUGAGACGGAUGGCCAACCAAAUUAUAGCAAGAAGCUCUGGCACAGUUGGAACAUUGCUUCACCUCUGUAGAUCUAGAACAGGACCCAAAUUUGGUGCCAAUAUCCACAAAAGCAGGCAGCACCAAAUCCAUGAACCUUUCACUCCAAACUGGCCCCUGUUUACCACAAGUUAUAUAUGAAUUUCCUGAAAUUCUUCUAUCUUCCAAAUAGGCUCACGUCUAAAUAAAUUUAUCAUUUAUAGUAAAAGCAAGCAAUUUAAGGCGUUUUUAGAAGAAACAAGAAUGUGCUAUGUUCUUUCAUGGUCCAUACUUGAAUAGGCUUUUAUAUAUAACCUUGUUAUCUGGAAAAUUUUGCUUCUGAUCAUAUAGCUAGCUCGCUGGCUGGCUGGCUAAACGGCAAGUGUUCUGCAGAUUUAAAGUCAAGUAAGCGGCUACUGUGCCGCCUACACAGGUAAGUGUAUAGUGUAUAUACAUACAACAAUGGCUAACAGCUAGUAUGUUAAGCUCUCUCACUCACUCAUGACAAUUUGUUUACUUGUGUCAAUUGUCUAACAUAACAACUCUGAAAAGUACAUGCAUUACCAAGACAUGUUCUAUAUAUAUAUAUAUAUAUAUAUAUAUAUAUUGGUGGGUACGGCAAACUCUUGAUUGAUCAUAAAACUAAAUGAACUUCCUAUGGACUGCCUUUGAAGCAUCCAGAAAGUUCAGGUCUCAAAUCUACAAGUUCAUUUCAAAGACUUUUAGCUCAUACAUAAACUUAACAAAAAGCGUGAAAAUAGGAAACCAGAUAUAUUAUAUUUAACAUUGUUAUUGUUAUUCACUAAGAAUAAACUUCAGGACCAAAGUAAAAUUGAUAAAAAUAAUUGUUCUUGUAUACUACGUAAUUCUCAAUUAAUCUAAAUCAAGUAUUUUAAAAGUUAUUCUAGGUAAGCAUUUUAAAUCACAAGAAUUACCUAAACUGAAAAAAAAGAGUAAAAGAUGUAAGCUAUUAACAAGAAGAGACGACAUAGAAAAAGUACCGUAGCCGCUUCCAAAAGUAAUUGGAUCCACUGACUUUCUGAUUUCCGAUCACAAAACAAUUAAAAUAAGUAAAAGAAAAGACACGAUAGUGUGACUAUGUGAUGAGCUCAUGAUUACUACUGCUAGUACAGAAUUACGAGGGUCCAUACAUAGUUAUAAAAGGAUCUUGUCGAGUCUCUAUAAAGUCAUCGUGCCUGUAACGAUACAAAUGGAAAAUCACAUUAGUACUAAGACUUGCAAAGAUGCUUCACAAGUAUAAAUAUAUCAUUUUGGCUUUGACCAAACAACACCUAUGUAAGGGGGUAACUGAUAAAUGAAGCACCACAUACUCUUUGCAACAACUAGAAGCAAGUUGAAGGUCUUCAAGUGAUUUUAGGUCAUCCUGCUCAGACCAUGAUAAUAAGCAUAUGUUAGUGAUCUUUGGAAGUUAUUGAAUAUAGUACCAAAUUAAACAUCAUUACUCUAUAAAAGACUUGUUAAUUGUGGGGAUUAGUUGGACCUGAUUCAUGAAAUGAACACCUAGCAUAAAGCAAUAGGUAAUGAAUCAUAGAAAUAGUGAAUGAAUACAUACUAGGAAGAAAAUGACAAUCAUCAUAGGAAGGAUACUCAAGUAAUUUGUUCAAUGUAACACCUGCAGAUCCAGGAGUGAGGAAAACAUGUUUCCGUCAUCAACCUGAUCGGUUAUCAUGUAUGUAUUUUAUAUGUGCCUUCUUUUCUCAAUUUUUCUGACUUGAAGCGAUCAACUUUUGUAGGAUUUACCCUUUCAUAAAGCCAUAACUAGCAUGGGAUUGGGUGAUUGAGUACUAACGUAUUAUUGAAAAGUGUUGAAGCAAUGUGCUUGGUGGAUUUGUGUGGGAUCCAUGACGGGGUUUCCAUUCUGAUUAAGCUCGUUAAUUUAUAUAUGAAUUGUACGUACGUAGUAGUCCUUUAAACACAAACAACCACCUUUAUUAUAGAUCUCCACAUAUUCUUCAACAUUUGAAAUUACUAUCUCCAAGAACUGUAUCAUGCAUAACAGCAUUUCAUUAUUAUAGAAUAUGAGGAACACAGAUGUUAAGGACUUGGAGGAUGUAGUUGUAUAUGAAUUUUCCUUGUAUACAAUUGAGCUCAUGAGAGGAAAUGAACCAUUUUUCCCAUUUCCAGAAAUCAGAAGAAUUUUCAGAAAAAAUUACUCACCUCCCUCUCUCAAUUCCACAAAAGUUACAAGAAAGAUCAAAUGUAGCAAUUAAUAAGAAAUAAAAAGGAAGGAGUGGGGGGUGGAGGAGGGAACUAAUGAACCACUAUAUAUAAACAGUGGCCGAAAAAUCCCCGCCUAGGCAGAAUCAAACAUCUACUUUACACUCCAAAUGAUUUUGUUAUGCCUACAAAGAAUUUUUUUUGGUAAUGUUUCAUGUAAUAUUUGCUUAGUAUAGUGUAACAUAUAAGCAUGGUAAGAAAAAUAAAUAAAUGAGACCGCUUAAGUAAAACCUAGUCCGCCUAGGCGCCCCUUCCACCGCCUAGGUUCGCCUAACAAUUUUUAGAACACUGUAUAUAAACCACAAUCAACGCUAUAGAAGACUUUUGAGUGCAUUAGCUAAAUAAAUCGAGUAGUCAUAUAUUAAGCAAAUUUGUACUAUCAAAUGUGAUCGCCUUCUUCAAUUAAAAAAAUUAUAAUUUACCAACUGGUCUUGGCUCAGUUGGUACCCCAGGCCUUUUACAAAGUAAGAAGUCUUGGGUUCAACCUCAACCCCUGAAUUAGCAAAAAAAGAAGAAAGAAAUUGAUAUUUUCACAACACUUUUUUAUAUUUUCACAUGAAAAGUAUCGUUAUAGAUGUAUAGCGACGGUGAAACCCAGCAACGGUGACAUUUUCAUGUGAAAAUAUUAUUUUCUAUUGCGGAUUUAUCAAUUUCCUUAAAAAAUUAAAGAGACAAUAAGAAAACUUUCAUAGAAUUAUUGGUAUGAAGAAUAAAGAAGAGGAGGAAAUAAAUAACUAAAACAAUAGUUGAGUAUAUUAAUAAAGUAAAUCCAAAGAAAGAAAGAAAGCUGACCUCCAGAAUGCUAACUACCUCGCCAGAACCUGAAGCUUGGCCAGUUGUCACAGCUUUCCAUAGAAAUCAGAGGAGUACCCUGUGGGAAUUUUAUGGAGGGCGAUGAAAUGUCCAUUAAAAUAAUCAGCCAGCAUCUAAACUCCUACACUCCUUCAUUCAAAUAAAUAUAGUGUGACUAUACAGAUGAGAUGAGACUUUAAGAGAGGGAGAGGGAGGAGAGAAAC
RNAcentral lists this long non-coding RNA (3404 nucleotides) under Panax ginseng (ginseng). RNAcentral's name for it is "long non-coding RNA (PGIN_LNC001828)". The record is from RNAcentral. Lineage: Eukaryota; Viridiplantae; Streptophyta; Magnoliopsida; Apiales; Araliaceae.